UACACUCCUACGGGAGGCAGCAGUAGGGAAUCUUCCACAAUGGGUGCAAACCUGAUGGAGCAAUGCCGCGUGAGUGAAGAAGGUCUUCGGAUCGUAAAGCUCUGUUGUUAGAGAAGAACACGUGCUAGGUAACUACUAGCGCCUUGACGGUAUCUAACCAGAAAGUCACGGCUAACUACGUGCCAGCAGCCGCGGUAAUACGUAGGUGACAAGCGUUGUCCGGAUUUAUUGGGCGUAAAGGGAGCGCAGGCGGUCUGUUUAGUCUAAUGUGAAAGCCCACGGCUUAACCGUGGAACGGCAUUGGAAACUGACAGACUUGAAUGUAGAAGAGGAAAAUGGAAUUCCAAGUGCAGCGGUGGAAUGCGUAGAUAUUUGGAGGAACACCAGUGGCGAAGGCGAUUUUCUGGUCUAACAUUGACGCUGAGGCUCGAAAGCGUGGGGAGCGAACAGGAUUAGAAACCCGAGUAGUCCC
This 472-nucleotide ribosomal RNA is filed under the name uncultured organism. Its description in RNAcentral is "partial 16S ribosomal RNA". It matches the Rfam family "Bacterial small subunit ribosomal RNA", at positions 332 to 797 of the family's 1533-position model. The record is from RNAcentral.